Pelobates cultripes (western spadefoot toad) is the source of this 549-nucleotide non-coding RNA. Lineage: Eukaryota; Metazoa; Chordata; Amphibia; Anura; Pelobatidae. The record is from the annotation of a GenBank genome assembly.
GCCAGUCCCUUGUUCGGUACAAAAAAAAUAAAAAAAAGUGUAGCAUAAUUUCAGUGCCCAUGAGUCUUAUAAGGCAUCUGUGACUUUGGCAUUUUAAUGUAAACACUGCCUUUUCAGAGAAAAGCACUGUUUACAUUGCCCCCUAGGGACACCUCCAGUGGCCACACCUCGCUCUGCAUGGAGACGCUGAACUUUCCUCAGAGAUGCAUUGAUUCAAUGCAUCGGUAUGAAGAUGUGCUGAUUGGCCAAAUUUUUUGUUUGGCCCCACCCCGCCUCCAUGCUGAUUUCAGCCAAUCCAAUGCUUUUCCUUGGCUGAAAUCCUAAAUUCUGAUGCUGUCCGCAAGGAGGCUUUUCGAGGUCGGGGCUAGAGCUGGCGGACCUGCGUGGCGCUGGAAAUAAGGUAAAUUUUCUUACCUUUUAAUGGUGGUUUUAACAUUAUAGGGUCAGGAAUACAUGUUUGUGUUCCUGACCCUACAGUGUUCCUUUAAAAGUCCACUAAAAUGUCCCAGACCACUUUAUCUCAAGGAAAUGGUUUGGGUGCUGUGGUCC